Molecule: long non-coding RNA, 1819 nt
Filed under: Salvia miltiorrhiza (redroot sage)
Lineage: Eukaryota; Viridiplantae; Streptophyta; Magnoliopsida; Lamiales; Lamiaceae
Description: long non-coding RNA (SMIL_LNC004602)
Source: RNAcentral
CCUGAAGAUGAGCUUGUUUUGCGCAAUGUAACUUCCAUGCCCAUAAUUAGUGUAUAUAAAUUUUAAAAUCCUGCAAAUAAAUAUUUAUUCUGUAACGCGACAAUAAUAAAUAAUAAUAAACAAAUAACAACAAAAAGGAAUGUUAAUAAUAAUUAUAAGUAUAACUCUAAUCAAAUAACUAUAAACAUAUUGAUAUGGCAGCAAAAUUAAGCAAUUACUAUAUCAUUAUAUUUUAUCAAAGCUUAACUUUCACAAUUAAAUAAAGGCCAUUCUACAAACCCAAAAAUUUGCAUAUCUUAUAAAUCAGCCUAAAUGACCAAAACAAAAAUUUGAGGACAUAACUGAACAUUCGGAACCUUUGGAUACAUGUGUCCUGCAAAUAUAGGUAUUUGGCUCAAAUUCAGUAUUUAUUAUCAUUGAAGUUGCUUGAUGCUUGAUGACAUCGUAGUUUCAACUUUCAAGUGUAAAGUCACAGAGCUACUUUUUAUUUAAGAUUUAAUUGAUCAAACUUUCAAAACUUUAAAUAAUUCUCAUCAAUCAUAAAGAAUAAAGAAAAUCUAUACUACCAAAAUCAAACAUGAGAAAAAAGGUGUUGAAUGAUAUACUAUAGUCAUAAUUAAAUGUAAAUAGUGUAAGUGAAGGAGAGAUACAUUAGUGAUCCAGUUUCCUAUUCCAGCUGCACACCGUAUCGUCUCAUCAUCCGCCAUCUCUAAUCUAAAGCUGAUCUUGGGAGACUCAUCAUCAUCCACCGCCGCCUUUGAACCUUUCAACACCUGCACAACAACAAAUUAAUUAAUUGUUAUUUGGUGACUACAUAGAAGAGGGACUGGAAAGGAAAUAGCAAUAGUUGGAGGAGUUAGUUGCAAACUAUGCUUUAAACCUAAAAUCUGUUACAACAGAUUUUCGGUUAAGAGACUGGAGCAAGCCAACUUCUCAUCUUUCUUGCGGCUGCAUCUGUUAUCCUUUUUAUCUCAAAUCUUGUAUACAUAUUCAUCAUAUAGCAGUGAAUAAGUUUAGUUAGUUUUCAGCUGAAUAGAGAGAUAGGAUUUGAGAGUGCAGUAGCUUGAAGUUAGCUUGAUAACUGCAUUUCCUGUUCUUGUUGCUGAGUGUUGUAACUUGUUCUUGUCUCCUGUUUUCAUAGUGGAUUUUUCCUUACUUUGCAGCCGUGGACGUAGAUCUGAAAAGAUCGAACUACGUAAUCCUUGUGUCUCCUUUACUUUCUUGUUUUACAGUUCAUUCAAUUCUCUCAAACACUACACAAACUAAUUGAGUGAGAUUGUGAGUUGGUGAGCUGUUGUGUUCAUUGCUUUGUUGAAGUAAUUGAGAAUUCUUGGGUGUUGAAUUCGCAACAUUAAUAUUAGCAAGAACUUCAUGUACUGUUUUGCCUUUUGUUUUAUAAAAGCUAUAACAUCAACUAAGCUAUAACAUCAACUAAGCGACAACUUUAAUACAUCUGAACAAUUCAAACCAAUAUUGUUAUUCACAGAACAAAAUAUCUGAACUCAAAAUUUUGACAUAACCAAAUUUUUUUGACAGCCGCAAUUGAGAAACAAAAACAGAUCAACAUUCACGAAAUUCGAACACACACUUAAAAUAAGUUUUAGUCUUAUGUGUUCCUGUUAAAUGAAUAUUUCGUUAUCCAUGAAUAAUGCCAAAUACUUCUAGAGGUAGAUAGAUAAUUAUGCGAGUGAGAAGAGGAGAACCUGAUCGGAGCGCAGCGGCGAGGGAGGAGAACAACGAAAUCACUUACGAAUGCACGGCGCUGGUGUAGACAGGAGGAGAACAACGAAACCCAAGGUGUCUUCGAAGAGGUUUGAAG